This 436-nucleotide ribosomal RNA is filed under the name uncultured Oscillospiraceae bacterium. Its description in RNAcentral is "bacterial SSU rRNA". It matches the Rfam family "Bacterial small subunit ribosomal RNA", at positions 341 to 792 of the family's 1533-position model. Lineage: Bacteria; Bacillati; Bacillota; Clostridia; Eubacteriales; Oscillospiraceae. The record is from RNAcentral.
ACGGGAGGCAGCAGUGGGGAAUAUUGGGCAAUGGGCGAAAGCCUGACCCAGCAACGCCGCGUGAAGGAAGAAGGUCUUCGGAUUGUAAACUUCUUUUAUGGGGGACGAACAAAUGACGGUACCUCAUGAAUAAGCCACGGCUAACUACGUGCCAGCAGCCGCGGUAAUACGUAGGUGGCAAGCGUUAUCCGGAUUUACUGGGUGUAAAGGGCGCGUAGGCGGGAAGGCAAGUCAGAUGUGAAAUCCAUGAGCUCAACUCAUGAACUGCAUUUGAAACUGUACCUCUUGAGUGCUGGAGAGGUAGAUGGAAUUCCUUGUGUAGCGGUGAAAUGCGUAGAUAUAAGGAAGAACACCAGUGGCGAAGGCGAUCUACUGGACAGUAACUGACGCUGAGGCGCGAAAGCGUGGGGAGCAAACAGGAUUAGAUACCCUAGUA